CACAUAACUUUUAAAGGUCUAGCUACCAUAUUAUUACCCACAAGGGUAAAGGAACAACACCAUUGCUGGAUAAUUGGAAAUUCCCUGUGUAUCAACCUCUGUGCUCUGUGGCAAGGUAGACUAGCAAACAUGCCCAACCUUUACUUACAUUCGAGAAAACACUCCCACCAAGAUUGCUUGCUCCAAAAUCGAAGAGGCACCGUCAUCCGAAUCUCGAGAGCCAGACUCCCAACAUGAUUACUUUCUCAAAAAUCGAAAAGACACCACUCUCCGAAUCUCGAGAGCUAGACUCCCAGCA
This 298-nucleotide long non-coding RNA is filed under the name Malus domestica (apple). RNAcentral's name for it is "long non-coding RNA (MDOM_LNC013863)". Lineage: Eukaryota; Viridiplantae; Streptophyta; Magnoliopsida; Rosales; Rosaceae. The record is from RNAcentral.